This 460-nucleotide ribosomal RNA is filed under the name uncultured bacterium. RNAcentral's name for it is "partial 16S ribosomal RNA". It matches the Rfam family "Bacterial small subunit ribosomal RNA", at positions 338 to 795 of the family's 1533-position model. The record is from RNAcentral.
CCUACGGUAGGCAGCAGUGAGGAAUAUUGGUCAAUGGGCGAGAGCCUGAACCAGCCAAGUCGCGUGAGGGAAGACGGUCCUAUGGAUUGUAAACCUCUUUUGUCGGGGAGCAAAAAGGCCUCGUGAGGCCACAAAUGAGAGUACCCGAAGAAAAAGCAUCGGCUAACUCCGUGCCAGCAGCCGCGGUAAUACGGAGGAUGCGAGCGUUAUCCGGAUUUAUUGGGUUUAAAGGGUGCGUAGGCGGACUGGAAAGUCAGCGGUAAAAUCGAGAGGCUCAACCUCUUUCCGCCGUUGAAACUGUCGGUCUUGAGUGGGCGAGAAGUAUGCGGAAUGCGUGGUGUAGCGGUGAAAUGCAUAGAUAUCACGCAGAACUCCGAUUGCGAAGGCAGCAUACCGGCGCCCGACUGACGCUGAGGCACGAAAGCGUGGGUAUCGAACAGGAUUAGAUACCCCAGUAGUC